This 403-nucleotide ribosomal RNA is filed under the name uncultured bacterium. Its description in RNAcentral is "partial 16S ribosomal RNA". It matches the Rfam family "Bacterial small subunit ribosomal RNA", at positions 30 to 526 of the family's 1533-position model. The record is from RNAcentral.
AUUGAACGCUGGCGGCAGGCCUAACACAUGCAAGUCGAGCGAGCGGCGGACGGGUGAGUAAUGUAUGGGGACUGCCCGCUAGAGGGGGAUAACUACUGGAAACGGUAGCUAAUACCGCAUACUAUCGGAUAACCCAUAUGGGAUUAGCUAGUAGGUGAGGUAAUGGCUCACCGAGGCGACGAGCCCUAGCUGGUCGGAGAGGAUGAUCAGCCACACUGUGACUGAGAGACUGCCCAGACUCCUACGGAGGCAGCAGGGGGGCAUUUGGCACAAUGGGCUCAAGCCCGAUGCAGCCAUGCCGCGUGUAUGAAGAAGGCCCUAGGGUUGUAAAGUACUUUCAGUCGGGCGGCGUUACCGACAGAAGAAGCACCGGCUAACUCCGUGCCAGCAGCCGCGGUAAUUC